This 865-nucleotide ribosomal RNA is filed under the name human gut metagenome. RNAcentral describes it as "bacterial SSU rRNA". It matches the Rfam family "Bacterial small subunit ribosomal RNA", at positions 30 to 906 of the family's 1533-position model. The record is from RNAcentral.
CGAACGCUGGCGGCGUGCCUAACACAUGCAAGUCGAACGGACGAGGAGGAGCUUGCUUCUCCAAGUCAGUGGCGGACGGGUGAGUAACGCGUGAGUAACCUGCCCUUCAGAGGGGGAUAACGUCUGGAAACGGACGCUAAUACCGCAUGACAUAUUUCCAUCGCAUGGUGGAGAUAUCAAAGGAGCAAUCCGCUGAAGGAUGGACUCGCGUCCGAUUAGAUAGUUGGCGGGGUAACGGCCCACCAAGUCGACGAUCGGUAGCCGGACUGAGAGGUUGAACGGCCACAUUGGGACUGAGACACGGCCCAGACUCCUACGGGAGGCAGCAGUGGGGGAUAUUGCACAAUGGGCGAAAGCCUGAUGCAGCAACGCCGCGUGAGGGAAGACGGUUUUCGGAUUGUAAACCUCUGUUCUAAGUGACGAACAAAUGACGGUAGCUUAGGAGAAAGCCCCGGCUAACUACGUGCCAGCAGCCGCGGUAAUACGUAGGGGGCAAGCGUUGUCCGGAAUUACUGGGUGUAAAGGGAGCGCAGGCGGAGAAGCAAGUCAGUGGUGAAAACGAUGGGCUUAACUCAUCGACUGCCAUUGAAACUGUUUCCCUUGAGUGAAGUAGAGGCAGGCGGAAUUCCGAGUGUAGCGGUGAAAUGCGUAGAUAUUCGGAGGAACACCAGUGGCGAAGGCGGCCUGCUGGGCUUUAACUGACGCUGAGGCUCGAAAGUGUGGGGAGCAAACAGGAUUAGAUACCCUGGUAGUCCACACUGUAAACGAUGAUUGCUAGGUGUGGGGGGUCUGACCCCUUCCGUGCCGGAGUUAACGCAAUAAGCAAUCCACCUGGGGAGUACGGCCGCAAGGUUGAAACUCAAAG